GCGGCAUUCUUCGUGAUUUCGGGUCUCUCCCUUAACCCCUUUCCUGCGUUCUCCGUGAUUUCGGACCUCCCGCACCCUACUCUCUCUUACCCUCUCUCCUUUUCUCUCUGAGAUGUGGGGCUUAUUCUUCUCCACACCCUACUCUCUCUUACCCUCUCUCCUUCUCAACGAACCCUAACUCUCUCUCUCUUUCUUUUCUAGCCGCCUCUGCAGAUUUUUCGGGAUUUCUCUGUCCCUCUCAACAAACCCUAGGUUCGCCUAGGCUCUCUCCACCGACCUCCCCUGUAGGGGUCGUACCUUACACCGCUCAACCGCAGCUUCACCAAACCGAAUUUUCGGAUCGUGGGUCCCAUCGAGCGCUAUUUUUUUUUUUUUACCCUGUAGACCUCUACCAUUCGCCUCCCCUCUCUCUCUCUCUCUCUCUCUCUCCGUACGCCUCCGCCGCCUACGCGCCGCCUCCGCCUCUGCCUUAUACUACUUUCCCCCACCCCAACUGAGGAAGGGAAUCGAGCUCGCUCUCUCGAGCUCGCGCUCGCGGAGUAAACCCUAGAUUUUUUAUCCGUUGAGAUCGCGGAGAGCAUGGCCGGGAUCCGCGUCUCCAUGGACGUCGGAGGCGACGGGUUCGCCGUGAUCGCUAUCUCCAACACCCCCGUGAACGCGCUGCAUCCCGCGAUUUUUCUCCAAUCCUGCCCCAUGGAGUAACGCGCGCACUCCUACAAGUCUCCUCGAAAGUGUUCCGCAUCGAAACCACCGGCAUAGUAAAAACCGUAUAAAGGCCUCUUCUUUGGGCUUCUUCUAGGGUUUCGCACCCUGGAGGUCGGGGGUAAUGGAGAGGGGAGUGAGGAGAUGGUUGGUGAACAUCUCUACGUGGGAUCCCUCCGAGCGGCGCUUUGCCUCUCUCGCUUCUCUUCUCCCUCCGCAUGAGCGCCCUGCAAUCAUGAGGUUUGUAAAGGUUGAUGACAGGAAACGAGCACUUGUCAGUCGAUUGCUUCAGUAUGUGCUCGUGCGUGAAGUUCUUGGUAUUCCAUUUGACAAAAUAACCUUGAGCCGUACAAUUGAGGGAAAACCCUAUUUGAAUAAUGAAGAUAAUGUGGUAUUUCCAAACUUCAAUUUCAAUGCAUCACAUCAUGGGGAUUAUGUUGGCAUAGCAUCUGAGCCACGCUGUCUUGUUGGCUUGGAUAUUGUUAGUGUUUCCAAGCCUCAGAAAGAAGAAGUUUUAGAGUUCAUUGAUAGCUUCUCAUCGUACUUCACAGUUUUAGAAUGGAAGAACAUCCUUCAAUCAAGCUCUUCUGAUGAAAUCUUGAUCGAGUUCUACAGAUACUGGUGUCUCAAAGAGGCGUUUGUAAAAGCAGUAGGUGCUGGAUUGGGCUUUGGAUUGCACAGAUUGGAAUUCCAUCACGCAAGGUGGACAAAUAUAUCUGUCUGUAUAGAUGGAGCAGAAUCUAAAGAUUGGAGAUUUUGGCUUUUUGAACUCGAUGAGAGGCAUUUGGCAUCUAUAGCAAAAGGACAUCCAAGGGAAGCCGUUGAGACAUAUCGACAAACAUUGACGAAGGUGGACUUUGAGGAGGGGGAGUUCCAGUGCGCUCUUCAGCUUCCAGAACAUGGUUUCACUUCAUUUACAGUUGAUCAACUAGACCCAAAGGAAAAUUAAUGAUGAUGGGUUUUGAGCUGAGUAAGGAGCAGAGCUCUUGGAGGAACCUCACUUGUGUUCUAUCAAGUUAGAGCAUAGUAGAGGUAAGAUUUGAUCUUUUGGAGAUAUGUAUUAAAAGGGUUUUUAGGAUGAUUUCCUUAGUGCUAAUGGUAUUAAGAGAGUUUUAGAGGCGGUUAUGUUAGGGUUGAAUCUUGACUGAGAAUUUAUAUAUGAAACCCCCUUGUUUAGGGUUGGUUUGAGAAUAAGAGAGCUUAGAUUGGGACUACUACGAGUUUCAACAUUAUUUGCCAUCGUCGUCGGCAGGUGAUCGUGGCAAAGGUAUUGCAAGCUAGGUAGCACCCCGUCCUGGACGAGCUCUAGUGGAGUGACUGUUAUGUUGCAAUGAGAAGAAGGAUUUUCCUUCAAAUUGAAGGGAUUUUGGAGGAUACUUUUGGAAAAGGAAAUCCAUUUUCAAGUUGAGACCCUAGCUAGAGAACAAAGUAAGUAGAUCUUUAGUUUUGUACUUUGUGAAUAUCAAAGGAUAAAUAUUUUGGGUUGCAUACACGUUUUUCUAUUUUCUUUGAAGGUCCCAAGCUAUUCUUUAUGGAUUGGAUAUAGUUUUGGAAAAUUUUGUAGCAUUAUAUUCACUUAUUGAAGCUCCAAAUAGAGGAUUUUUGCCUUAUUACGGGAUUUGAUUGUAAUCUUAGGGUAUGGACCCUAAGAGGCCGAAAUGAGGAUUUUGAUCAAUAAUUUUUAGUUCUUUCUAUUUGAAUUUGGGGGCCAAUGCAUGAUUAUAUGAAUUGCCUUUAUUUUUGAGA
Molecule: RNA transcript, 2448 nt
Organism: Ananas comosus (pineapple)
Lineage: Eukaryota; Viridiplantae; Streptophyta; Magnoliopsida; Poales; Bromeliaceae
Gene name: L-aminoadipate-semialdehyde dehydrogenase-phosphopantetheinyl transferase-like
Exons: 9
Source: RefSeq, a predicted model, not a curated record